This 220-nucleotide ribosomal RNA is filed under the name uncultured fungus. RNAcentral describes it as "partial 18S ribosomal RNA". The stretch from base 44 to 220 matches the Rfam family "Eukaryotic small subunit ribosomal RNA", at positions 691 to 872 of the family's 1831-position model. Lineage: Eukaryota; Fungi. The record is from RNAcentral.
GGGUUCUACCGUUGGUCAGGCAAUAGUUUGUACUGGCGUGUGGAAUUUCUACCUUCUGGGGAACCAUCAUGUUAUUAAUUUAACGUGGUGGGAAACCAGAACCUUUACCUUGAAAAAUUAGAGUGUUCAAAGCAGGCUUACGUCUGAAUACAUUAGCAUGGAAUAAUAAAAUAGGACGGUGGUCCUGUUUUGUUGGUUUCUGAAUCACCGUAAUGAUUAA